This 283-nucleotide ribosomal RNA is filed under the name uncultured prokaryote. RNAcentral's name for it is "partial 16S ribosomal RNA". It matches the Rfam family "Bacterial small subunit ribosomal RNA", at positions 355 to 629 of the family's 1533-position model. The record is from RNAcentral.
UGGGGAAUAUUGCGCAAUGGGCGAAAGCCUGACGCAGCGACGCCGCGUGAGGGAUGAAGGCCUUCGGGUCGUAAACCUCUGUCAGGAGGGAAGAAAUGCUGGUGGGCUAAUAUCCCGCCAGUUUGACGGUACCUCCGGAGGAAGCACCGGCUAACUCCGUGCCAGCAGCCGCGGUAAUACGGAGGGUGCGAGCGUUAAUCGGCAUCACUGGGCGUAAAGCGCACGUAGGCGGCCUUGUGUGUCAGGUGUGAAAGCCCUCGGCUUAACCGGGGAAUUGCACUUG